UCCAUGCUGCUUUCGACGUGAACAAAAUGAGACAUAACAUUAUUUGGCUUAUCGGUGGAUUGUUUACAUUUUAAAGAUUUGUGUGAUAUCAUAGCGGCGAGACAUAAUCGACAUUUUUAUUUAGUUUUUAUUUCUGCUGGGAAACACUGUGAACACAUUGUUAAGAUUUUGUUUUAUAUUUGUAGUCCGAUCAGCUGAUGGUUUCAUUGAUUUUGCGAGGCGGUUCAUUAUUUUGUUAUUGUGGCGUCGAUUCUUGCCUUAAAGCCACAACAUUUAGACUAGUCUUGUUUUUAUCAAACUAGUUCAGUGUGACAGCUAACAGGUCAAGGACGAAGUUUUCUUUUAUUUUUCACCAUUUUUCAAAACGUACUAGUAACAUUUUGCCGCAAAGGGAACAGGAUUCUCAUCGGCAAGCCCAAACUUUUAAAUCCUUACAAAAUUUGUGGAGCAUCGCUUUUCAAACAUUGUAGAAUGUCGACAGAUUCCAGAUAUAAUGUUGUUUUUGUGCUUGGUGGACCUGGAGCUGGAAAAGGUACACAGUGUCAACUGAUACAAAAGGAAUUUGGUUAUGUCCAUCUUUCUGCUGGAGAGCUGCUUAGAAAUGAACAGAACACAGAAGGUUCCGAAUAUUCCAAAGAGAUAGAUAAUCACAUCCGCAAUGGUACCAUUGUUCCAGUAAAAAUUACCUGUGCUCUUCUAUACAGGGCAAUGCAAGGCAGUGGUAAACAUAACUUCCUAAUUGAUGGAUUCCCCAGAAACAAGGACAAUUUAGAUGGCUGGAAUACAGAAAUGGAUAAAGUUGCUAAAAUACAAUGUGUUCUAUUUUUCAACUGUCCAGAUCAGGUGUGUGUAGAGAGAUGCUUGAAACGAGGAAAAACUAGUGGCCGUACAGAUGACAAUGAAGAAAGCUUGAAGAAAAGAUUUCACAUAUUUUUUAAUAUGUGUCCAUACUUCUAGUGCUCUGACGGCUACUGGUGUAUUUUCUAACCAUCUGUGGUUACAGAAUUUGAGAGGGAAGACAUUGGAAUCUGUCAUUGAAACAAAAUCUUCCCUUCGAGCUGGUGUAUCCUUAAACAGAAUAGAAACAUAUUAUAAGUCAACACUGCCAAU
Molecule: unclassified non-coding RNA, 1110 nt
Filed under: Gigantopelta aegis
Lineage: Eukaryota; Metazoa; Mollusca; Gastropoda; Neomphalida; Peltospiridae
Description: uMP-CMP kinase 2-like, transcript variant X1
Source: RNAcentral